Sitophilus oryzae (rice weevil) is the source of this 1468-nucleotide long non-coding RNA. RefSeq lists it as uncharacterized. The record is from RefSeq and is a predicted model, not a curated record. The transcript has 3 exons. Lineage: Eukaryota; Metazoa; Arthropoda; Insecta; Coleoptera; Curculionidae.
AAUCACCCUAUUCUAGUCUCUGUAAUGUUGAAUCGAGAGUGCUAAGGCAGUGGAGAUUCCAAGUCUUCCAUUGUUCUAGUGUUUUCUUUUUAGCGUUAUUUGGGAUUAGAUUCUCUCUCAUAAAAAUUGAGUUCACAGACUUUCUUAUUUUAGCGUUUCCUGUUUAGUGUUAUUUGAGACAAUAUUCUUUCUAAAAAUUUAAAAUGAUGCUAUUCUAGUCUCUGUAAUGUUGGAUCGAGGGUGCUACGACAAUAGAGGUUCACAGCCUUUCUUGUUUUAGGUCUUCUUUCUGGCGUUAUUUGGGGUUAGGAUAUUUCUAAAAAUUCUAACUAAUAUAAUUUAAAACAAUAAUCACCCUAUUCUAGUCUCAGUGAUGUUGGAUCGAGGUUGCUACGGCAAUGGAGGUUUACAACCUUCCUUGUUUUAGGUCUUCUUUCUGGCGUUAAUGGGAUUAUAAUAGAUUCUCUCUCUUAAAAACUAAAAUAAAAAACAUAAUUUUUGUUUAAAAUAAUCUUUUUUACAUGGUCUCUUGUGAAUGGAUGAUACAAUUACGAUCGAAGAGUAACAGCCUUCUUGUUUUAGUAUUCCCAUUCACGUAUAAAUUAAGUAAAUUCAUUCUGAUUUAAACUGUUUUAUUCUCUAUAUUUUUAUAUAAUUUCAAAUCAAACUUAUAAUAAUUUUUAUUUAGUUUACUGGUCUUUGAGAUGAAUGAAUUGAUAAUGCUAAAGUAGUGCCGGUUCCAGUCUGGCGUUAUUUUAGGGUUUUCUUUUCACUGUUGUAAGAGAUUGGAAUAAGGGACCAUUUCUUUUUUAAAUUUUGCUCUGCCCCAUCAAAUUUUUCUCUGCUCUAUCGCUGUAUCUAAACUAUAUUUUUGAGCACAACUCUCUAUCUUAUCUAAACUAAUUUUCCUAAUAAUCUCAUGUCAAAGCGAUAGAGCUCUUUCAAAAUAUAAAAUUUACCCUGGAUGGAUAGCCAACACUGAGGGGGAGGGACAUACUUCUUGACGUCUAAUCGGAAUGAUGGGAUGGGCCGUAGUCCAGCAUAUUCAGCCUAGUGUCAGUGAUAGUGAGAACUAUGAUCGUGUACGCAGCGCGUGUUAUUUGUGAAUUUAGUCGGUCUGUGUUAGAUGUCCUGCUACUAAAAAGUAUUUCCAGGUUCUGUCGAUCCUGAUGACGCGUUAAAUGGGAUUCCCCAGGGACCGUCCGUAGUUCCUGAGGGACCAGGGGCGUCCUUCCGCUCCCGCGGUGUGACGACACUGCUUUUUACGCCGUGUGGCAGGAAUCGCCAGUGAAAGAAUGUGGAAUGGAGUAUGCAGAUGAAGAGGAAAUGUAGAAGGACCAUUUCUAAAGCAUAAUUAUAACGGUCGCGUCGGUUCGUGGUUCUGGAGCUGUUCUAAGGCUUUUCACAGCAUUUUAAGGCCACACUUUUUAUUUGCGUUCAUACUUUCUUUGAUUCGAAUCAUAUAUAA